CGGACCAUCGGAUAGUGGCAGUCCGUACCCUUGGGGUGGGUAUAGCCCCGGUUCGAUUCCGGGUGGUCCGACCA
This 74-nucleotide transfer RNA is filed under the name Parcubacteria group bacterium. RNAcentral's name for it is "tRNA-Pro". It matches the Rfam family "tRNA". Rfam says of the family: Transfer RNA (tRNA) molecules are approximately 80 nucleotides in length. The record is from RNAcentral.